Arabidopsis thaliana (thale cress) is the source of this 109-nucleotide small nucleolar RNA. It matches the Rfam family "Plant small nucleolar RNA R71". Rfam says of the family: R71 is a member of the C/D box family of snoRNAs containing the C (UGAUGA) and D (CUGA) box motifs. NCBI's taxonomy places the organism in Eukaryota, Viridiplantae, Streptophyta, Magnoliopsida, Brassicales, Brassicaceae. The record is from Rfam.
AAACCAUGAUGAGGAUAAUCACAUUCGUAGUCCUUAAAUCGUUCCCAUGCUUCAUAGAAGGAUUCGACCAGUCCUUGUUGGAAUCCUUGCAGCUUGUUCCUCAAAGAGU